RNAcentral lists this ribosomal RNA (459 nucleotides) under uncultured bacterium. Its description in RNAcentral is "partial 16S ribosomal RNA". It matches the Rfam family "Bacterial small subunit ribosomal RNA", at positions 338 to 795 of the family's 1533-position model. The record is from RNAcentral.
CCUACGGGCGGCAGCAGUGAGGAAUAUUGGUCAAUGGACGAGAGUCUGAACCAGCCAAGUAGCGUGAAGGAUGACUGCCUAUGGGUUGUAAAAUUCUUUUAUAUGGGAAUAAAACGUUCCACGUGUGGGAUUUUGUAUGUACCAUAUGAAUAGGGAUCGGCUAACUCCGUGCCAGCAGCCGCGGUAAUACGGGGGAUCCGAGCGUUAUCCGGAUUUAUUGGGGUUAAAGGUGGCGUAAGUGGAUUUUUAAGUCAGGUGUGAAAGUUUGCGGCUCAACCGGAAAAGUGCAGUUGAAACUGGGAGUCUUGAGUACAGGAGAGGUGGGCGGAAUUCGUGGUGUAGCGGUGAAAUGCUUAGAUAUCACGAAGAACUCCGAUUGCGAAGGCAGUUCACUGGACUGCAACUGACACUGAGGCUCGAAAGUGUGGGUAUCAAACAGGAUUAGAUACCCGAGUAGUC